UACACACCUCAGAGCCAACUUCAAUAAAGAAUUUUAUUCUAAAUUUACUACUAAAUCCACCUUAAUAAUAUUUUACAUAUCCUAAUCCGUAUAAUUUUAAUUUAUUGUAACCCACUUCUCCCAUACUUAUAAGCUGCACCUUGACCUGAAGUCAUAAAUUUUAAAUUAAUUAGAUUAUAUUUUCUAAAAAUAAUCUGACAACGGCGGUAUACAAACUGAAUACAAAAGUAUGUGCAUUUAAACGUGGAAUAUCGAUCCAAGAGCAGGUUCCUCUAGUAAGAAUGAAGUACCGCCAAAUUCUUUAGGUUUCAAUAAAUCUACUACCCUGGCAAUAAAUUUAAUAAAGA
This 347-nucleotide ribosomal RNA is filed under the name Triops mauritanicus. RNAcentral's name for it is "partial 12S ribosomal RNA". Lineage: Eukaryota; Metazoa; Arthropoda; Branchiopoda; Notostraca; Triopsidae. The record is from RNAcentral.